RNAcentral lists this ribosomal RNA (1396 nucleotides) under uncultured bacterium. Its description in RNAcentral is "16S ribosomal RNA". It matches the Rfam family "Bacterial small subunit ribosomal RNA". The record is from RNAcentral.
AGAGUUUGAUCCUGGCUCAGGAUGAACGCUAGCUACAGGCUUAACACAUGCAAGUCGAGGGGCAGCAUGGUCUUAGCUUGCUAAGGCCGAUGGCGACCGGCGCACGGGUGAGUAACACGUAUCCAACCUGCCGUCUACUCUUGGACAGCCUUCUGAAAGGAAGAUUAAUACAAGAUGGCAUCAUGAGUCCACAUGUUCACAUGAUUAAAGGUAUUCCGGUAGACGAUGGGGAUGCGUUCCAUUAGAUAGUAGGCGGGGUAACGGCCCACCUAGUCUUCGAUGGAUAGGGGUUCUGAGAGGAAGGUCCCCCACAUUGGAACUGAGACACGGUCCAAACUCCUACGGGAGGCAGCAGUGAGGAAUAUUGGUCAAUGGGCGAGAGCCUGAACCAGCCAAGUAGCGUGAAGGAUGACUGCCCUAUGGGUUGUAAACUUCUUUUAUAAAGGAAUAAAGUCGGGUAUGGAUACCCGUUUGCAUGUACUUUAUGAAUAAGGAUCGGCUAACUCCGUGCCAGCAGCCGCGGUAAUACGGAGGAUCCGAGCGUUAUCCGGAUUUAUUGGGUUUAAAGGGAGCGUAGAUGGAUGUUUAAGUCAGUUGUGAAAGUUUGCGGCUCAACCGUAAAAUUGCAGUUGAUACUGGAUAUCUUGAGUGCAGUUGAGGCAGGCGGAAUUCGUGGUGUAGCGGUGAAAUGCUUAGAUAUCACGAAGAACUCCGAUUGCGAAGGCAGCCUGCUAAGCUGCAACUGACAUUGAGGCUCGAAAGUGUGGGUAUCAAACAGGAUUAGAUACCCUGGUAGUCCACACGGUAAACGAUGAAUACUCGCUGUUUGCGAUAUACAGCAAGCGGCCAAGCGAAAGCGUUAAGUAUUCCACCUGGGGAGUACGCCGGCAACGGUGAAACUCAAAGGAAUUGACGGGGGCCCGCACAAGCGGAGGAACAUGUGGUUUAAUUCGAUGAUACGCGAGGAACCUUACCCGGGCUUAAAUUGCAGAUGAAUUACGGUGAAAGCCGUAAGCCGCAAGGCAUCUGUGAAGGUGCUGCAUGGUAGUCGUCAGCUCGUGCCGUGAGGUGUCGGCUUAAGUGCCAUAACGAGCGCAACCCUUGUUGUCAGUUACUAACAGGUUCCGCUGAGGACUCUGACAAGACUGCCAUCGUAAGAUGUGAGGAAGGUGGGGAUGACGUCAAAUCAGCACGGCCCUUACGUCCGGGGCUACACACGUGUUACAAUGGGGGGUACAGAGGGCCGCUACCACGCGAGUGGAUGCCAAUCCCCAAAACCUCUCUCAGUUCGGACUGGAGUCUGCGACCCGACUCCACGAAGCUGGAUUCGCUAGUAAUCGCGCAUCAGCCACGGCGCGGUAAAUACGUUCCCGGGCCUUGCACUCACCGCCCGUCA